This 253-nucleotide ribosomal RNA is filed under the name uncultured bacterium. Its description in RNAcentral is "partial 16S ribosomal RNA". It matches the Rfam family "Bacterial small subunit ribosomal RNA", at positions 524 to 776 of the family's 1533-position model. The record is from RNAcentral.
UACGUAGGGGGCAAGCGUUGUCCGGAAUCAUUGGGCGUAAAGCGCGUGUAGGCGGUCCGGUAAGUCGGCUGUGAAAGUCCAGGGCUCAACCCUGGGAUGCCGGUCGAUACUGCCGGACUAGAGUCCGGAAGAGGCGAGUGGAAUUCCCGGUGUAGCGGUGAAAUGCGCAGAUAUCAGGAAGAACACCAAUGGCGAAAGCAGCUCUCUGGGACGGUACUGACGCUGAGACGCGAAAGCGUGGGGAGCGAACAGG